GGCGGACAGUGUGAGGGUUUGGUGUGGAGACACUGAACAGGAAGAGGCGCUGUGUGUGAUGAUGAUGAUGAUGAUGAAGAGGGUUUUCCGCUGUGUUACUGCGCCACCUGCUGGAUGCACCCCCCCCUGUUUGCAGUUACAGUAAAAGCAGUAGAAGAAGAAGAACACGCAGCGUGCUCCCAGCACCACCGAAGAACGAACUGAGGAAGUGCCGCUGCCUGACGUGACUACCGGAGGCGAACAGGGUGCUGAGUCGGUAACUGGGUGAUCGUUGCUGCACUACGUGGUUUAAUCUGAACCUGCUGCUGUGGUUGUUGGCGUGCAGCUCUGCGUGUACUUCCUGUCACCGCUGACCCUGACGAUGGUGCUGAGGGAGGUUCCAG
Long non-coding RNA from Micropterus salmoides (largemouth bass), 383 nucleotides. RefSeq lists it as uncharacterized. Lineage: Eukaryota; Metazoa; Chordata; Actinopteri; Centrarchiformes; Centrarchidae. The record is from RefSeq and is a predicted model, not a curated record. The transcript has 3 exons.